GAUAGGAUAGGAUAGUGUUUGGCUGGGUUUGGGCUGGAUGUGUCUGGUCAGUCCCUCAUGUGCACAGACCAGUCAGUGGGGACCCAGACUGGCUUCUUUAUGUGGCUCCCACCCUUUUAAUGGAGCUCAUCCUCACGAUUGGGGGGUGGAUAUCUCUUGAGAAAAUCUGCCAUGAUGCGUUUAGUUUGGCGGAUAUCUUACUAUGUCACAGCUGUGUUUCUGUUGGAUAUUGUUGAGUGUGUGUUAAGUGUGCAUGUGUGUGUAUAUAUAUUUAUGUGUGAGGUGUGCCUGUGUGUUUUAAUCAUACACAGUGUGUGUAUGAUGUACAGUGGGACAUUCCAGCCCUGUCACAGGGGUCAAAUGAUGUGAAUGUGAGCCAGCUAGCUACAGUGUAUCUCUCCAUCUCCCCAUUUCAUAAACCCUCUCAGGUUUGGAAAGGCAUUGUGGUGGCGGAAUUUGGGGUGAGCUGUUGUAACUUCUCAAGGUUUAUGCUCUGUGCUGUGUUGAACUGUGACAAACUGCAUUUCAUAGACUGUUGCACCCUAACACAAGGCCAUUGGGUUCUGGAACUGUUGCUUGUAUAAAAUAACUGCUGUAUAACCGAUAUGAUUGUAUUAUCACCUCCCUUUAUACGAGGGACAUCCAACCAUCUCCCCUCCGAGUCCUUCCCUGAUCUGUGAUCAGAGAGACAGCUCUCCCCUACAGCUGCUUGUAUUAAAGAUUUUCUAUACCUUAAAUAGUCUCUGCCUCGAUCUUUGGAUCAUCGAUAGAAUGAAUGCAUUAGUAGUCUAGUUAACAGUGGUAAAGUUGUCUGUUUCGUUUAAGGCCUGGGGAGAAAAUGCAAACUCCCAAACAGUGGAAAGAUUGGUCCUGUCCAAAUGUCAUCAGUUUGACCGGUUUUAAGGAAAUGAAAGCUGAGAAAACCAAACACGUUUCUGAUAAGACUUCAGUUUGUCUGGGUACAUACUGUAUUUUAUGUGGUUGAAAUACUGUCUGCUUGCAUAACAGUGUCAAAGACAACACAUUACACACUCAUUCGCAUGCUGAAAUAAAUAAAUCAUAUUUCUCCAUUCCUGUUACUGAGACAAAAUUAACAAUUAUUUUAUAAUUUCAUAGCCUAAUUCUGCAGGAGUUAAUAUUAUAUUACUCUACAUGUGAGAAGUUAUAGGCCUACUGUCAUUGUCUAUAUUUCAGUUACUGUUCCAUUUAAUCCAUACUUAAAUUAGGAAUAUUCUGUUAAUUCAUGGAUACAAUGAUACUCAUGAUAAGGAUAUAAAAGUUGCAUGUAAACUGCUUAUCCCGAAUAAGAUCUUAAACGGGAUAUGAGCUACUAUCCGGAAUACUGUACACACGUCAAUGUGGUCAAUGUUGUCUAUCCAUCCUCAGUUUUCUCAUAUCACAACCAUUCAACUCUGUAACCAUUGGCCUCAUGGUGAAAUCCCUUUGGCAUUAUGGGGUGUUGUGUGUGUAUAGAUCAGUUUUAUUCAAGCUGGAACACAACAAAAUGUGGACAAAAUAAAUCCUUUCUGAAGGCACCGCAUAUACUGUAUCUAGUCAAGGCUCAUCCUAACUACUGCUGCACACACCUUUUCUAUUCAUAUACUGUCCAUACACACCAUCAUGUACAUAUAUUCCGAGUGUACAAAACAUUAGGAACACCUGCUCUUUUCACCACCGACCAGGUGAAUCCAAGUGAAAGCUAUGGUCCUUUAUUGAUAUUACUUGUUAAAUCCACCUCAAUCAGUGUAGGUAAAGGGGAGGAGACAGGUCAAAUAAAGGCUUUGUAAGCCUUGAGACAAUAGAGACAUGGAUUGUGUAUGUGUGCCAUUCAGAGGGUGAAUGGGCAAGCCAAAAGAUUUAAGUGCCUUUGAACGGGGUAUGGUAGGAGGUGACCGGCACACAGGUUUGAGUGUGUCAAGAACUGCAACGCUGCUGAGGUUUUCACGCUCAACGGUUUUCCGUGUAUAUCAAGAAUGGUCCACCACCCAAAGGACAUCCAGCCAACUUAACACAACUGUGGGAAGCAUUGGAGUCAACAUGGACUAGCAUCCCUGUAGAAUGCUUUCAACACCUUGUAGAGUCCAUGUCCCAAUGAAUUGAGGCUGUUCUGAACGAAAAAGGGGUGCAAUUCAAUAUUAGGAAGGUGUUCCUAAUGUUUUGUACAGUCAGUGUAUAUUUAUAUUCCGGACUCUGACAUUGCUCGUUCUUUUUAUUUUUGGGAUUAGUGUGUAUUGUUUUGUAUUGUUAGGUAUUACUGUACUGUUGGAGCUAGAAACAAAAGCAUUUUGCUGCACCUGAGAUAACAUCUACAAAAUGUCUGAUUAUGCACGGCGUGAUGCCAUGAUGCCUAAUAUAUAUGGAACUACCCUGACAUGGUUAACCUUUAGUUGGGAAUGGGGAUCAAUGUGUCCAGCUCAGCCCCCACCGCCUGCACCCACCCAGACAUUGGACAGUUAUCUGUUUGCUGCAGUUAUUUUGUCCUUAGCUGACCUUCCGGUUAAGAUGUAGGGGCGACAGGUAGCCUAGAAGGGGCGGCAGGUAGCCUAGUAGGGGCGGCAGGUAGCCUAGUAGGGGCGGCAGGUAGCCUAGUAGGGGCGGCAGGUAGCCUAGUAGGGGCGGCAGGUAGCCUAGUAGGGGCGGCAGGUAGCCUAGUGGUUAGAGCGUUGGACUAGUAACCAAAAGGUUGCAAGAUCAAAUCCCUGAUCUGACAAGGUAAAAAUCUGUCGUUUUACUGAACAAGGCAGUUAACCCACUGUUCCUAGGCCUUCUUUGAAAAGAAGAAUUUGUUCUUAACUGACUUGCCUAGUUUAAAUAAAGGUUAAAAAAAUGUAUGCCUACUUUCUUUGAGAUCUACCUUCCCCCCUCUGAAAUGAGAACUUGACAUGCUUUUCUCAUCUCAAUGGCCAGCUGAUACAAGCAUUCCUACAGCUCUAUGCUGAUGUUGAUUCAUGUUGUAGCUCAUUACAGUAAAACUCUCUGUGCCAAUUUGGAAUGGUAUUUCCCCAAAAAAGAAAGGCUCUGUCAAAAUGAUACAUUUCCUUCGGUGAUAAAAGCACCUGAUCCUAGGCUAGCAAACUGACAGCCUAUAUUGUGUUCCUGAUGAAAGAUCUCUUUUAUAAUCUGUUCUCUUCUCCGCCCUCCACACUGCAACUACAGAUCUGUUGAAACAAACUGAGGGUCUGAGAGGUUGCUUUCUCAGGGCUAAACAGAGUGAGAACACAGCCAGACAGUUCUAGAUUCCCCUGACUCUGCAGAUAUCCCGCCUGCACUUUAGCAGCCGUUGUUCCCACCUCAUUGACUCCAUGCUUUAGAAAACUGAGAUUAGCCGAUUGGGAUUCUGUUCUAAGCCUUAUUGUUUGGCCUCAGGACUACAGUGUAACAUUUUUGGAGCUCAAGAGAUUCCACUUAGAACUCUAUGGAUUUCUCCAUUGAUUUCAAUCAUUACAUGCAUCUCCACUGUCAUUAAAGGUUCAGAUGUGUCCAUAUGGUGACUGUUAUUGUAUAGUCAAGGGAGUGAAUGACAUUGCCAUUUAAAUGAUUUCAUAUUUGUCUCCUGG
RNAcentral lists this long non-coding RNA (3557 nucleotides) under Salmo salar (Atlantic salmon). RNAcentral's name for it is "lncRNA (ENSSSAG00000082406.1)". Lineage: Eukaryota; Metazoa; Chordata; Actinopteri; Salmoniformes; Salmonidae. The record is from RNAcentral.